UAGUAAAUGCAACCUGCCCACUUGCUUAGUUCUAGUUAAUUUGAAUGGAUAUUUUGUGUUCAAAUCGAAAUAUUUCUUUGUUCUCUAGUAGCUAAUUGUCUUGGUGAUUAAUUGGUUGUAUAAAUAAUUGUCUCGUAUAAUGACAAAUCAAUGGAGUUACCACUACACUAGGUAAUUAUAGAAGCCUUGAUCUCUAAAAUAUCAGGAAGAGCCUUAUAGUUAUUUCUAGAUCAAUGAUUGUUGAGAUGAAUAAAGAAUUUGUGCCUUUGAAAGUGUAUCAAAACAAUUUGUUUGCAGUACCAAUUUAAGAUUCAAAGGUGUUCGGUUGUUUACCUGCGACAUCACAUAGUAAUAUUUGGAAAGACCUACAACUAAAUUCAUGUAGAUUCUAUAUUCUGAUUGACACUUACCCUUCUCAUUGUGAUAAUGGAUCUUAAGAUUAUCUCAGAUCCUUUUUUGAACUGUAUUGGAUAUAAGUUCUCUAAGUGAUCAUCAUUUGUAGUUUGAUCAUAAUGUGUUUAAUUAAGACCAAAUUGAAUAGUAAAAUUGUUAAUUAUCUUUUCCCUUUUGAUGCAUGUGAAUGUGUUGCAUCUGAGUUCGCCGCGGACUCUCAAUUACAUUUUCCUCGUCGAGUAAAUUCUGAGAAAAAGCCCAAACAUCGAUCAUAUGGAGUAUGGAUACAAGAAAGAAACGAGAGAAGAAGCAACAGUUAAACCCAUAUUUAAAGCGGCCAAGAGACUUGAAAGUCUCGAUUUUUUUUUUAUUUUUAUUUAUUUUGCUUAUGUUGCUUAUUUACUCAUUUAUUGUCGCCUUUAGUUAUUUAUUUCAUUUAUUCCUUUAUUUAGUCCUCGAAGCCAAGGUUGUAAAUUUAAUACAGGUGAUGCAAACUCGAGCCAAGGGUUCGAGAGAAAAAACUAGACUAGGAUAGGUGAAAUGGGUCGAAAACCCAAUUAGACUAGGACAGGUCUUAUUGAUUUGGGCCCAAUGGCCUAAAUCCCUUACUUCCUCCCCUUUCCCUCUUCUUUAUGCUUGUUUGUCUUAUGUGUUUUGCGAACCUAGUUAAAUCUUCAGUCAAGUCACUAAAAACCUGGUUUUGCAUAAAUAUCAAAAUAUUUCUAAAAUCGCUUUCUCUUCAAAAAUCAACCUUUUUCAAGGUUAAUCAUAGACGAUUUUCAAACAGUCCGGAUAGCCGCAGGUUAGCGGACGUUUUAGGUGCCUAACACCUUCCUAAAACGUUAAUAGGAACCAUUUACCUAGAAUCUCUAACUUAAAUGAUUUUCCUAUUUUGAACCGUUUGAAGUAACUUUAUAAGGGUUUCUUAAUUUCUUUUCAAAAUUAAGUGGCGACUCUUCAAAAGUAAAAAAUUUCUCCGCAAAAUAGAAAUGGUGACUCUGUUGGGGAAUUUGACUAGGUUCUAACCAAAUGUUUGAUUUUGUCUUUGAUUAACUGUUUAUGUAUUUAUGUGUUUCGAUUCUGUAAAGUUUAACUAUCGCAUCUCAUGGCAUAUUCCUGCAUUAUUAAAACUGUUUUGGGGUUUCGUGGAUGUCCCGGCCCUCUAUUGUUCAAUUUCAAUAAUGUGUUGGAAAUAUGAAUGACUUAUUAGCACAUGAGUCGUCUGAUGGUUGUUCGUAUUUUCAAACUCAAGUUGUCCUCUUAAGAACCUGUGUUCAAACCCACUCUAGACACCUAGGAUAGAACGAAACCAAAACCCUAUUUUAGGCAUGAGUCUAGGAUGACCCAAAACCUGCCCGGCGUCUAUUGACCCCGAGUCAAUUAUAGAUGAACCAUAUUUAUAUAUUGAAGAAAAUAUAUGUCUGUCUAAUUUAAUCCAUUAUCCUUUGGGGGUUGGGAAAAAGCUUAAUUUGCUUACUUUCGUAAGAAGAAUUGAAGCAAGUUGAGCAAGAAAUUAAUCGAUUUGGGAGGUUGCAUCUAAGGCACAGUUUGAACGUCAACGGAUGUAACCAAUAUAAGAAGUGGACGAAGCUAAGAAGGUGAAGGAUGAUAGAAAAAGCACCCAGGAGUUAUAAUUUUCUAUCUCUUGUGUGGAAACGUGUCUUCUUUCAUGUUAUUUCCAUUUCCCUAAAAAUUGUAUCCCUUUUUUGUUGUAUUUUGUAGGCAUUUAUGCCCUUUUAGUGUUUAUAAAAGUUGGGGGAUAAUGGAUUGACCUUAAGCAAGCAUAUAUUUUUCUUCAAAAAUUGUUAGGCCCAAACCCUUGGCUCAAAAGGGUCACCCAAGUUAGGAUAUGCAUUAGUAUAAUGUUCUUAUGUGAUAUAAUUAUCUUACGUGUUUAUGUGUGUUUGUUUGGAUCAAAGACAAAUUUAUCCGCUAUGCUUUUAUGGAUUGAUUUGGCUAUGACACAAACAACUCUACGUGGCUAUUUCUUGUCUAGUAUUUUGCAUUGCUUAUCACAUGUGAAAACUAACAGAUUUGCCUUUGAGUUGUUUGACUUUACAGAUAAUAGAAAUUACUCCAUCUUGAAAUAAGCUGGCAGAACAUCCUUACUUCACCCAGUCAAAAGCGCACAAAAUCCCAUCCUCUGACCAUCAUUCAAUAAUGACUGGAAAUGACGAAGAAAAUACAUUGACCAUCAGGGACAAUGUAAUAGCGGAACAGAGUGAGAUGAUUACAAAACUCACAAGAAAGCUAGGAAUGAUUCAGGAGGAAAUAAAUCAUACUCGAGAUUUGGCUAACCUGGUCAUCACUGUCAAUGCUCCCGCUCCAGGAGGACAUAAGACUCCACUCCAAAUCCCUCCCCUCAGUACACCUAUUUUCGGGGAUCAGUCAAAUAACAUAUCAUUCUUCUCUGCCCCUCCAUUUGUCCAAAAUACCAAUUGUGAAAAUAACCCAGAUGCUUACCAUCCACAAAAUCCAGCCCUUGCCCCACAAAUUCCUUCUCCGAAUCUACAAAAUUCAUUCCUAAAUCCCCAGAACCUAUUGGUAAAUCCACAAAAGCCAUCCCCAGAUCUACCAAAUCUGCCAAAUCUAUCUCCGAACCCACAAACUUCAUUUUUGAAUCCGCAGAAUCCAUCCCAAAUCCCACCAAGCUACUCUCAAAUUCCACAAAACUUUUCUAAUUUCCAAAAUGUUCUCCCUACCCACGAACCAACUUCCUUUCAUUCAUAAAAUCAAGCCACCUUUCUAAAUCCUUCUCAUGUCAUCAUAUCCCCUGACAUCUAUAAUUCCCUUCCUAAUCCUGAGGUGGACCAUUAUGAGGAGAAGGAGAAAGAGUGGAGGACCGAGCAUAAAAUAAAGUUACUAGCUAUGAAUCAAGAGAUCAUGAGGAUCAAGGAAUCUCAUGGAGCGGGGAAUAACGAUGGGUUAGGUUACGAUGAUUUAUGUGUUCACCCUGGAGUAGAUCUACCAGAAGGGUAUAAGGUCCUUAAAUUUGAAGUGUUCGAUGGCACCGAAAAUCCAAUGUCCCAUCUGAGAAGGUAUUGUGAUCAAAUGGUGGGAGUAGGAAAAAAUGAGGCAUUAUUGAUGCGCUUAUUCAGCCGAAGCUUAAGUAGCGAAGGCUUAGAUUGAUUCACGUCUCAAGAACUGAAAAAUGGACUAGUUGGAGGGCAUUGACCAAAAGUUUCCUUAAUAGGUUUGCAUUCAAUAUUGAAAUAGUCCCUGACCGAUAUUCAUUAGAUCGGAUAAAACAGAGGAAUGAUGAGUGUUUUCGAGACUAUGCCUUCCGUUGGAGAAAAGAGGUUGCCAAAGUACAACCUCUCAUGUCUGAGGAAGAAAUGAUGUCUAUGUUCUCUCGUGCUCAGGAGAGAGAAUAUUAUACCAGGUUGGUAUAUGCGGACCGAGCAACUUUCAUAGAUUUAGUAAAGAUUGGGGAAUCGUCAGAGGAAGGCAUCCGAACAGAAAAAAUUGCCAAAACCCCAAUAUCAUCUGAAUCUUCUGCAUUCUCAAAGAAGAAAAGAGAGGAUAUGACUGCGGUCUCUACUGAUUUUGUUGAUAAAUUAAAAAGGAAAUUCAAGCCUAGGAAUAUUCUUUCCUUACCACCAUCACCAAAUUUUCAGCCUGUAUUCUACUCCCAUCCCCAAUAUCAAGUUCCAAUUUUAAAUAUUUUACCUCAGUGUCAAAUUCCGCAGCCAAAUUAUCAAUCUCAUGUUCAAGCUAUUCUUCUAAACAAUUAAAUAAAUGUCCAAGCACCUCCAAACUAUCAUCAAGUACCUCCUCCUACUAAUCAAAAUCAGUAUAACUACCCACGUGUAAACCUCGAGAAGAAGCCUCCCAGAAAAUUUACUCUAUUGGCUGAAAUUUAUAUCCAUCUCUUCGGAAGAUUGAUGAAGGCCGGUUAUUUACAACCUAUUCCACCAAAGACUGCCAAUCUCAAUUCUCUAUUCUUUCAUGUCGAUCAAGUUUGUGCUUAUCAUUCAGGAGCUCCCAGGCAUAAUAUUAAAGAUUGCAUCAAUCUGAAACACAAGAUCCAGGACUUGAUUGAUCAGAAGAUCAUCACUCUUCAUGCGCCGGCAGCAAAUUUUGCUAGUAACCCAUACCCUAAUAAUGAGGGAGCCGCAGUUAGCAUGAUCGAAAUAGCAGGAGAAUGGGUAUCUAGCGAGACAAUUGCUAAUGUGGAUUCAAGAAAAUCCAAAAAGACAGAAGGAGUGGAAAUGAUAGAAAAAGUUGUGGCUUCCUUGAGUAAGAAUUUAUAAGGAAUUAUUGAGCCUAUUAUGGUCCCGGAAAGAGCAUUUAAGUAUGGAGUAGGAUACCAACCAAGAAAGAAAGAUGAGAUCAAAGAUAAUUCAAAGGAGAGUCUGUUUAGGCCCUUGCUGCUCUUGUACCAGUCAUUUCCCGUACAUAAGAUGUCAAACGAUGAUGGUAUUAAGGAUGGGAUAGGAGAUCUGUUCGAAGGAUGCCAUGCUCUACCAGAUGAUUUUCCAAAGUCCUAUGGGGUGAAGAAGAUUGCAUCAGAGGAGGCCUUCCACAACUGGACCUCCACUCCACUCAUAACCCGUCACCCAUCGUGGUAGAUGAAAAGGAUAAUUACUAAUAGUUUUUAAAAUCAGUGAUGAUCCAGAGAAGGCCCCGUGAUCCACCCUUUUAUGUCUCAAAUUUUCAUUUCGUGUUUUACAACUUUCAAAAUGGCAUGGGCCCACAUUUGUGUGGGUCAUGAGCCAUAGUUUUUAUUUAUUUUCCCUAAGGCCUCCCUUUAUUUAAGAAGAUAUUUUUUAAAAUAUGAUUAUCUAGCAUGGUUUAUUUUGGUAGCAAUAAUUUAAAAACCUGCCAAUAUUAUAUCAUGUCAAGGGUUAGACGAAUAAAACGAAGGAAAUAAUGAUGAACAGAAAAGGUGAUGAGGAGCAGUUAGUAGUAGAUACAGAGGAAUGUGAAAAUCAAAAGAAGCCCAACCUGGAGGAUCCCUAAUCCUACAUGAGAUGGAUGGUCAAGAGUGGACCAAAUCAAUUAAUUCUGAUACAGUAAAGAGAUAUUGUGCUUGAAAGAUGUUAUAGUUUUUAUUUCUUGGUUUAUUUGUAAUCGUCUUUAUAAUAGUAUCAAUUUCAUGAUGUGUAAUUUCCUAGAACCCCUUCCCUUUUUGUACGAUUUACGUUUGACUUGAAUUCUCAAGAAUGAGAUAUGCAGGCAGCCUAUGUCGGCUUUAGUUAACCCCUUAGGAAAAUUUAUCCUUUCCUUUUAUGUAUGAACUACGUGAUGACCUGAAUUCUUAAGAAUGAGAUAUGUAGGCGGCCUAUGUCGGCUUUGGUCAACCUAUUAGAUUUUUUUAUAUAUCCUUAGCGUAGUCUUGAACUACGUUUGACUUGAUUCCUACUUCAACGGGAUACGUAGGCGCCCCAACAGCUCGGUCAUAUAACCCCAGGAAAUAGAAACUAGGGCAGAAUUUUCGAGAAGGAAUCUAAAAAAUUCAUAAAAGGAAGAUCAUCAUCCAACAAAGAGAAUGAAGACCAAUAAAGACUUCGGAUCCUCUCGAGUUGGCAUCAUAUCAAAAGACUUUAAACUGGGGCAGAAAUUUUGAGGGAGGCCUUAAAAUUUUCACCAAAUAUUGGAAUAUAUUUCAAAUUUCCCGGCACUAGAGGUUGAAGUUGAGAUUUGAGAAUCACCACUUGUGAUAAAGUCUAGGUAAACUAAAUCUUCGGCUAUGAUGAAACCAUUUGUAGAACCCUCCAAUAAUGAUGAUGACUUUUGGAAAUCCUCCAUCGGAUAUAGUCAAAACUAAGUGGAAUACAUUCGCUGAGAUAGUACAUGACAUGACUGACAGAGAUUUUCGAAAGCUUUUAUAGAAAAUUUUGAAACUUUUUGCUAAAAAUAAGACUACUUUUGAAAAAUCUUUACAAAAUCUUUUACUUAGUGAUUGCCUAGGCGUCUAUAGGAGCAGGGAGCCAGGGUGGAGGUACCAAAAUGGUGGAAUACCUAAAAGAUGACGUGGAGCAAACGGAGAAUCAAAGAAGGUCAAUACGGAGUAGUUUCACUCAAACUAAUCAUUUUUCUGUGGAUGCAAGGACCAAUACACAAAAAUAAGAGUCUCUUUCAAAAAUAUUCAAGCAAAUUGGGAGACACACCUGAGCACUAAUGCUCAAGAACGGUAUUUUUGGAUAGCCCUAAAAAUGGGUUUAAUACCCAUUUAUUGAGGACCUGUUGUAUUGUCCAUCUCACUUUUUGAGAUCGUAGAGGACAAACAAAAGUGUCUUGUCUUCUUUACAAAUAUUGUAUUUAGAGUUUUCUAAAAAUAGUCGCUAGCAAAAGCGACUUUUUGUCUACUAAUCAUCUACCUUGAGUACAGGUAGAUGUAGAAAGCAAGACGCAGACAAACAAACUCAGGUAAAACUGUUUUCAAAUUGCCAAGAGGGUCAUUCAUAUCAUCGCCGAGAGGGCCAAUUCAUAUCAUUGUCGAGAGGGCCAUUUCAUAUAAUUUCCAAGAGGGCCACUUUAUAGCAUUGCCGAGAGGGCCAUUUCAUAUCAUUGCUAAGAGGGCCAUUCAUGUCAUUUGUCGAGAGGGCCAUUUUAUAUCUGUUGACACGCAAGACAUAAACAUUGGUGUCGAUGAUAUUAUCAAUAUUUUAUAUCUGUUGACACGUAAAGAAAUAAAUGCUGGCGUCGAGGAUAUCAUCCCAUUUUAUAUCUAUUGGCGUGCAAGACAUAAACGCUGGCAUUGAGGAUAUCAUCAGCAUUUCAUAUUUGUUGACAUGCGAGACAUCAACGCUGGCGUCGAGGAUAUUUCAUCAUUUUAUGUAUUAAUAUCUGAAUGCAUCAAGAGCAUACGAUUUGAAGGGACGCCUUUAAGUCGCUAUCUAAGAAUGGAUGAUAUAUAAGAUUUCCUAGAAAUUGACAAUUUGAGGGUCAUUUAUAAGUUAUAUUAUUUGAAAUAGGAUAGUGUGCAAGAUCACCCAAAAAUCGAUAGUCUGAAGGUUAUCCAUAAGUCACAACUAAAUUCUUACCGGAGAAUAUGCGACAUUAUCAAAUUGAUAUGUCUAAGGGUUUUCUAUAAGCCGCGUCAUAUCCAAGAUCAAUUAUGUGCAGGAUUACCCAAGGACUAGCAAUUUGAGAGAUAUUUAUAAGUCAUAUUGUAUCCAAGGUCGGAUGAUGUGCAGGAACACCUGAAAGCUGGCGAUUGCAGGCAUAUCUAUAAGCCAUCUCUUAUCCAAGGUUGGAUAAUGCGGGAUUACCUAAAGGCUAGCAAUUCAAAGGAUAUCUGUAAGUCGCCUCGUAUCUAACAUCAAAUAAUGAGCAAGAUUAUCCAAAGAUUGACAAUUUAAGAAAAAUUUAUAAAUCGAUCAUCGUCUAUAACCGGAGAGGUUAUCAUGCCACUUAAAACAAGUGAUAUAGGUAACCAAAAGGGUUGCCACACCAGCACAAGAUUACACGAUUGUAGGGACCGUUCCACAUAAAGUGUCGUCGGUGUCCAAAAGGACCACCCCACUUUGAAGACAUAUUCGCUCGAUAAAUGAACUAAUUAUGCAAUAACUAAAAAGGUUGUUGUGUCUGUUAUUACGAGUUAUUUCCUUCCAAACAGGUACAAGAAAGGAUGACUUCGCUUUUAGACAAUAGCUCACACGGAGAUAUGUUAAAAAACUAUACACCUCUUUUGUGAAUUGGGUUUAUUACUAAUGAUUUCUGUUUGACAUAUUGUCGAGAGCAUCCGAGUGGAUGAAAAUCACAAAUCAAAACCACAGGUACGGAUGACUCCAAAAAGGACGAAACACAACGUGGAACUCUUUCUUAGCAGCAAAAUGGGACAGUCUAAAGAGGGACGUCAAACUCUUUGGAUGCGAGCUAAAGGAUGAUCACCACCACUAUUCAACCACACCCCUGUUAGAAGGUAUGUGGGUAUUUUAGGAUAUUCUGGUUUCAGCUUCACCUCCGGGAUAUUUCUAAACUCAUGUCGAGGGUAACAUUCUCUUUCUUUCAAAUUCGGGUGGCAACACACUUAGAGUUUUGGAAAUUAUGCCCAGGUAAAUUCUUACCUAUGGAUGUGAAGAGCUCCACGUUCAUGGUUAAGAGGUUACAAGCCUCUUUUCCGCAACUCAAUCAACUUGUCACUCAUCUUGAGCCAAAGAUCAUCUGAAAUAAAAGACUAUCUUUUCUACCGAUUGAGUCAAACUACAAGUAGUCUGAUUCCCUGAGUCUCGAGGAUAUGUAGGCUGGUCUCUAUGUAGAAAAGUUGACUGCAUUCCAACCUCCCCCAAAUCCCUUCAUUCCCCAGCGUCUCGGUUUUAUCAAAAACUCUAAAAUUAAGAUAGCUUGUAAAUUUUCUUGAAAAUUGUGCUUAAAAUCAAGAUUUAUGAACUACAAGUGGCCUGAAUUCUCAUUUAACCUGAGAUAUGUAGAAAACCUGAUACCGAGGUUCUGCCAUAAUUUCAUGAAACUAGUGCAAAGAUUAACCUUUUUCGAAUUCGAAUUGGUGGUCGGACAAAACUUAGGAACGUUAACCUCUCUUUACCCAGGGUUACUUGCAUCCACCCUACCCAAAGGGAGGGGGCAGUUGUUGACACCUAAUUUUUGCCCUCCGCAAUCCAAUUUAAUUUCGAGUUUCUUCAAUUUUAAAAUAAAAUCACAAUAAUUAUUUUAUUCCAAUAAAUGCAAUUUAAAAUAUUUAUUUGAGUUAAUUUUGUCAUUUAAUUAAUGAUUAUAUAUUUUUUAUUUUUAUACGAGAAUGUAUAAAUUUUUUUAUUUAAAUGAACAUUUUUUAAUUAAAAUUAGAGUUUUAUUGAUUAAAUUUAAAAAUUAAUCCAAAUGGACAAAGUCUUGAUUUUUAAAUAUACUUUAUUCUUACACAUAAUUUAUUUGAAUAAAUCUGUGUUUGAUUUUAUCGAAUCAAGAAACUCGGGGUUAAAUAAGAUGUUAAUUCAUUUCAAAUUUUGACUUAAUUUAGCCAAUCUAUUAGAUUUGACCAUAAUUGAAAUCAAAUUGGCCCCAAUUGCGAUGCAAUCGGCCAAUUGAUUUUCAAUUUGGCCAAAACUUAAAUGAAUUGGUCAAAUCCCCAAUUCUCAUAACCUAAUCAAAACUAAAAUCAGCCCAUUCCCUUCACUAAUUAAUCCAAUAACCCAGGCCCAAAAUUUCUCCGACCCAGGUCCAAAAUCCCUCCGACCCGGCCCACUCCCCAUCCAUUAUCUCCUUCAAAAAAAACAUACGCAUAAACCAACGUACAACCCUCACCAAAAGCUGCGUACCAACUCCAUCAACUUCGCGACCCGCGUCCAAUAACCCAAUUCAGCCAAAACUGAACCAUCUCCAACCCUUUUUUGAACCGACUUAGCCCCAGCCCGUCAGUUUUCUCUUCACAAGCAUUUCACGCAAUAUUUGGACGAAGAGAAGCCUCGAAUCUUUUAGAAACGAGGCUAGGUGGCCUCUCCAAUGGUUCAAUCCCGCGAUUCUCGGAUGAGAUUGUACGAUUUUGUAUAUAUUGGGAUGAUUUUCAUUGGUUCUUGAAGGGACUUGAUUUUUACCCUAUUGGUCCACCCGUUGCAAAUUUCUUGGAGAAAAUCCAAAAAUUGGUACGAAUUGAGCACGAAAACAGGCUGUGGGGGAAGAUUUUUGAAUUUAAAAAUUCAAAAUAUCAUUUUUUUUCAAAUCCCAAAAGGACCCCUAAUUCAUCUUCUAUAUAUAGACCCCUUGGGUCACCGUUUCAGGGGAUUUUUUUGGAGGGUUGGAAAUUCUUGGGUUAGGAAUUUGAGGGAAAAAUUCUCAAAAGGCAGAAACAUAAGAGAGAAAAUUUUGGGUUUAAGAAAUUGAGGGAGAAAAGAAAAGAAAAGAACAGAAAAGAAAGAAAACUCUUGUAAAAAAUUCAGUCGUUUAGAAGGAAUUCUGUUUUUGUAUUCGAAGGCUUACCCACUAGAUUAGAGCCUCGAUUCCCAGGAAGAUGUUUUCUUUAGUGGUUGUGAUUCUGAAGUUAGCCUCUAGGUACCGUUUUGCUGCUCUGUAAAAGGUGAACGUCUUUCCUUUUGUUCUUUCUUCACAGUGUGUGUUUCUUUCUUUUGCUACUAUUCUAUAAACGUAGUCUAGUAAUCGAGUCCAGGCUUCUGAUUGUGAUGUUGAUUUUACUGCAUUCUCUCUCGAGCUCACUGUCUUAUUAUUGCUUCUACCCUUAAUUUCCUCACUUCUUCCCGUUCUUUCUUCUUCAUCUCUUUGUAUCUGCGUAUAUUUGAUCCGUACAAGUGUGUGUAUGAAUUGUGUCAUUGUGCAUGCUGAGGUAAAGCUGGGUGCAUAAGUAUGUAGCGACAGUUGUAUAUUAUGCUUCAAUGAAAAAGGAGGAUAAAUGGGGUCCCUAUCAUCGAUUAUUGUCGUUGUCAAAAUUAUAAUUUUGGGUAAUUAGAUUUGGCCAUUGUUUGCCAUUUCUAAUGUUGGAAAAUCCUGGUAGUUUGCAAACUCUUUCUUGAAGCUGGUUUGCAUCGUUUCUUCUCCCAUUUAGGUAGUGAUUUCAGGGUCUAAAACUCUUAAAGUUUUGCAAGACCAUGUUUUGGAGAAUGGCUGCAUUUGUUUUCAUUUCCCGCAAAUUGUUAUAGACGAAGUGACCAAGAUUGAUACAUCAUUAUGAUUCAUGAUAGUUAAAUUUUUUAUUUUUGAAUGGUGGUUCUUUUUUGGGGGUUGUCGUACCGUUAUCGUGGUUUUCAGUUGUUUGGGGGGUUCUCCAGUUUAAGAUGAGAACUUUGAGAAUUUUCGUUCUUUUUUUUUACUGAUUGCUUAGUAGUUGUUCGUAUUAAUUUAGCUGUUCCUCGUUUCGAAUUGGCAUGUCAUUUACCUAGUAGUAUUACUGUCCUUCUUGGUUCAUCUAUUUUUAGAUCACCAUAGGUGCAGUUUCGAGCUAUCUAUGUUGGGUUAUAGUUGCAGAUUCUAUUUUGAUUUUAGUAAAUGCAACCUGCCCAUUUGCUUAGUUUUAGUUAAUUUGAAUGGAUAUUUUGUGUUCAAAUUGAAAUAUUUCUUUGUUCUCUAGUGGCUAAUUGUCUUGGUGAUUAAUUAGUUGUAUAAAUAAUUGUCUCGUAUAAUGACAAAUCAAUGGAGUUACCACUACACUAGAAAAUUAUAGAAGCCUUGAUAUCUAAAAUAUCAGGAAGAGCCUUAUAGUUAUUUCUAGAUCAAUGAUUGUUGAGAUGAAUAAAGAAUUUGUGCCUUUGAAAGUGUAUCAAAACAAUUUGUUUGCUGUACCAAUUUAAGAUUCAAAGGUGUUCAGUUGUUUACCUGCGACAUCACAUAGUAAUACUUGGAAAGACCUACAACUAAAUUCAUGUAGAUUCUAUAUUCUGAUUAACACUUACCCUUCUCAAUGUGAUAAUGGAUCUUUAGAU
RNAcentral lists this long non-coding RNA (11726 nucleotides) under Capsicum annuum. Its description in RNAcentral is "long non-coding RNA (CANN_LNC016819)". The record is from RNAcentral. Lineage: Eukaryota; Viridiplantae; Streptophyta; Magnoliopsida; Solanales; Solanaceae.